This 19-nucleotide small nuclear RNA is filed under the name Arabidopsis thaliana (thale cress). RNAcentral describes it as "snRNA_03744". Lineage: Eukaryota; Viridiplantae; Streptophyta; Magnoliopsida; Brassicales; Brassicaceae. The record is from RNAcentral.
CCCGCUGAGUUUAAGCAUA